RNAcentral lists this unclassified non-coding RNA (1478 nucleotides) under uncultured fungus. RNAcentral describes it as "sequence contains 18S rRNA gene, ITS1, 5.8S rRNA gene, ITS2, 28S rRNA gene". The stretch from base 507 to 1478 matches the Rfam family "Eukaryotic large subunit ribosomal RNA", at positions 1 to 961 of the family's 3401-position model. Lineage: Eukaryota; Fungi. The record is from RNAcentral.
GGAAGGAUCAUUAACACUAAUCCAAUCAACUCAAUCAAGCCUUCAGUUGCAUCAGUGGUACGAGCUAGCGCAAGCAAAGCAGUAUAGCUGUUGCAGCAACUAACAAACUAAUUCACGCAAAGGAGCAUAACUAAGCUCAACCAAAAAAACCAAAUUCUCAACGAUGGAUAUCUUGGUUCCCAUAACGAUGAAGAACGCAGCGAAGUGCGAUAAGCAAUGCGAAUUGCAGAACCGUGAGUCAUCAGAUUUUUGAACGCAUCUGGCGCCAACUGGCUCUCCAGUUGGCAUGCUUGUUUCAGUGUCUCGUUUUCUCCUCACCCAAAGCUUAAUGCGAGAGAUACCCUUCUCUUGCCAAGCAUGAAAGCACUCUGUGCUCUGCGAGCGGCUUCUUGACUUGUUCAAGUGUCGCACUCAAUGCAGUCGUCACAUUUCUUUUAAUGUGAACUCAUUGAGAGUAGAGGCUUUGCAGUUUAUUCUGCCAGUGCUUAGUCACUUAAACUUUCUUUGCAUCUGAAAUCAAGCAGGAUCACCCGCUGAACUUAAGCAUAUCACUAAGCGGAGGAAAAGAAAUUAACUAAGAUUGCCUCAGUAACGGCGAGUGAAGCGGCAAGAGCCCAAACUGUAAAUCUUCGCACCUCGUGCGACGAAUUGUAAUCUAAAGAUGGUUCGCUCACCGGGUGGUGGCGCAGAAGUGCCCUAGAACGGGCCGCCAGAGAGGGUGACAGCCCCGUAUGUGGUGCCACUGCCUAACGAGCGGGUUAUCAAAGAGUCGGGUUGUUUUGUAUUGCAGCCCUAAGUGGGAGAUAAACUUCUUCUAAGGCUAAAUAUCUAUGGGAAACCGAUAGCGAACAAGUACUGUGAAGGAAAGAUGAAAAGAACUUUGAAAAGAGAGUCAAAAGACUUGAAAUCGUUGAGAAGGAAGCGGUAGAAAUUUAUUCUUCGGCGGAGAACGGUGGUAGUUGCCUAACCUUUGUCUAUUGUCAGUACUUAAUCGGCUGCGGUGGGCACAUGGGGAAGCGGCUACUUUGUUCCUCGUCGUGAGGCAAAAUGAGGUCGUGCAUCCACAGAAGCUUCUUAGACCUGGCUUGAUUCGUCAGGCAGUCUGGGUGUGCUGGUGGGCGCAUGGCCUGAGGGUGCUUUGUGCGAUUUUGCCAAAAUGGUUUUUACCGACCCGUCUCGAAACACGGACCAAGGAGUCUAACAUAUAUGCGAGUGUGCUGGUGGAAAAACCAACACGCGUAAUGAAGGUGAGCGAUGCCAAGCGCAAGCAGCAGCAUCGACCGACCAUGAUCCUCUGGAGAAAGGUUUGAGUUCGAGCAUAUCUGUUAGGACCCGAAAGAUGGUGAACUAUGCCUGAGUAGGGUGAAGCCAGGGGAAACUCUGGUGGAGGCUCGUAGCGGUACUGACGUGCAAAUCGUUCGUCAAACUUGGGUAUAGGGGCGAAAGACUAAUCGAACCAUCUAGUAGCUGGUUCCCUC